Molecule: ribosomal RNA, 731 nt
Filed under: Hydrogenophaga sp. SMCC G952
Lineage: Bacteria; Pseudomonadati; Pseudomonadota; Betaproteobacteria; Burkholderiales; Comamonadaceae
Description: bacterial SSU rRNA
Rfam family: Bacterial small subunit ribosomal RNA
Source: RNAcentral
UGGCUCAGAUUGAACGCUGGCGGCAUGCUUUACACAUGCAAGUCGAACGGUAACAGGCCGCAAGGUGCUGACGAGUGGCGAACGGGUGAGUAAUGCAUCGGAACGUGCCCAGUCGUGGGGGAUAACGCAGCGAAAGCUGUGCUAAUACCGCAUACGAUCUAUGGAUGAAAGCGGGGGACCGUAAGGCCUCGCGCGAUUGGAGCGGCCGAUGUCAGAUUAGGUAGUUGGUGGGGUAAAGGCCCACCAAGCCAACGAUCUGUAGCUGGUCUGAGAGGACGACCAGCCACACUGGAACUGAGACACGGUCCAGACUCCUACGGGAGGCAGCAGUGGGGAAUUUUGGACAAUGGGCGCAAGCCUGAUCCAGCAAUGCCGCGUGCAGGAAGAAGGCCUUCGGGUUGUAAACUGCUUUUGUACGGAACGAAACGGUCUGGGUUAAUACCCUGGGCUAAUGACGGUACCGUAAGAAUAAGCACCGGCUAACUACGUGCCAGCAGCCGCGGUAAUACGUAGGGUGCAAGCGUUAAUCGGAAUUACUGGGCGUAAAGCGUGCGCAGGCGGUUUUGUAAGACAGUCGUGAAAUCCCCGGGCUCAACCUGGGAAUUGCGAUUGUGACUGCAAAGCUGGAGUGCGGCAGAGGGGGAUGGAAUUCCGCGUGUAGCAGUGAAAUGCGUAGAUAUGCGGAGGAACACCGAUGGCGAAGGCAAUCCCCUGGGCCUGCACUGACGCUC